UUAGAAUAUUCUAAGAAUGUUAAAAUCUCCAGUUUUCUUGUCGAGAUUGCAACGCUAUUUAAAGGUUGCAAAAACAUUUCCUAGAUGUUCACCAAGUACAAAUAACACCAUAAGGACGUUUUGAGAAUUUCUCGACGUUAUCAAAUAAUCGUAAAGUUCCAUAAACAUUACGUUGAGAACGUUUUGUCCUAACAUUGAUAUAACGUUUAAAAAACGUUUCCUUUUAGCUGCGAUGCCAUCUGAGAUCGCAUGAUGGGAAACAAACCUGCAUUUGUGAUUUGAGAGGAAGAUUAUCAGUGAAUAAAGGCUUAAAUUUCGUCUUGACUUCUUGUAUGUAUUGUCAUGUAAAGGCAGUGCCAUUCAAUCCAGCUCUUGUAAAGCCGAUAUGAGGGUCUGGAACAGGUCUGUGCUUGAUAAACUCCCUCACUGGAUGUUUGAUGUUACGGUAGAAAUGCAGAACUGUCGCGACACGUAACAUAUAGAUCUUAUAUAUGCUGAAAACACCGCCGCGGGAGAUUUACUGCCGGAUUCCAGCGAGGCGAUGGAGACGGUGAGUGUGAUUUAUGGUCACCUGUGCGCUUGAGGAGAGCUCGAGUUACGCUUCAGGCACAAACGAGAGUCAGGAUCUGACAGCCGCUGAUGCUCCUGACGCUGACAGGAACAGAUCUGUGGGAUGGUGUCUGAUUGUGAGAUCUCUGUUGCAGCUGCAGACGCCGAAGAACCUGCACCUGAAGAAACAGCACCUGAAGAACCUGCACCUGAAGAAACAGCACCUGAAGAACCUGCACCUGAAGAAGCAUCACCUGAAGAGCCAGCGGAGGAGGCAGAAGCUCCUGCAGAGUCUGAAGACACAAACCCUGAGACAGGUACGCCUCGUUUACUUCAGGUGUUCAGUUCUGGUCAGACACAAGACACAAGUGCAAAACCAAGGCACAUAUACAUAUACAUAUACAUAUACAUAUACAUAUACAUAUACAUAUACAUAUACAUAUGGAUAUAAAAAACAGCGAUAGAAAACCUCACGUUUUAAAAAGGGCCUGGAAAAGUCAUGGUCAUUUCUAAAAGAUAAUGUGUCCCAGUUAUUCUCAGCCCUAAAAUAUUUCAUAGCCAGAAGCUGCUCUUUCUGAACGCAAUCUUUAAUAAAAUGAUUUUAAAAAUCCUUCAAAUAUCCUGUAACCAUGAAGGCCUGGAAAAGGCAUAGAGACGCAUCAGACGGUGGGCUGGGAAGCCUGUGAUAAUCAUGUGGUUUUGGCUAUGACGUAUUUUCCUCUCUGCUGCCGUUCCGCUGAGAGUCGGCGGAUCAGACAAGCUGGCUUGGCAACUAAACGAGUUUAAGAGGAAACACUAAAGUCACUAACUGGAAAUAAAAUAAAAACUGAAACUGUGAACUAAAACUAUUAAAACUCAUUCAGUAAUUGAAUAAAAGCUCAA
RNAcentral lists this long non-coding RNA (1431 nucleotides) under Sinocyclocheilus grahami. RNAcentral describes it as "lncRNA (ENSSGRG00000009141.1)". Lineage: Eukaryota; Metazoa; Chordata; Actinopteri; Cypriniformes; Cyprinidae. The record is from RNAcentral.